This 442-nucleotide ribosomal RNA is filed under the name uncultured bacterium. Its description in RNAcentral is "partial 16S ribosomal RNA". It matches the Rfam family "Bacterial small subunit ribosomal RNA", at positions 338 to 795 of the family's 1533-position model. The record is from RNAcentral.
CCUACGGGUGGCAGCAGUGGGGAAUAUUGGGCAAUGGGCGCAAGCCUGACCCAGCAACGCCGCGUGAAGGAAGAAGGCUUUCGGGUUGUAAACUUCUUUUAAGAGGGAAGAGCAGAAGACGGUACCUCUUGCAUAAGCCAUGGCUAACUACGUGCCAGCAGCCGCGGUCAUACGUAGGUGGCAAGCGUUGUCCGGAUUUACUGGGUGUAAAGGGCGUGUAGCCGGGCUGACAAGUCAGGUGGGAAAUUCCGGGGGUCAACCCCGGUACUGCAUUUGAAACUGUUGGUCUUGAGUAUCGGAGAGGCAGGCGGAAUGCCUAGUGUAGCGGUGAAAUGCGUAGAUAUUAGGAGGAACACCAGUGGCGAAGGCAGCCUGCUGGACGACAACUGACGGUGAGGCGCGAAAGCGUGGGGAGCGAACAGGAUUAGAUACCCCAGUAGUC